This 492-nucleotide ribosomal RNA is filed under the name uncultured bacterium. RNAcentral describes it as "partial 16S ribosomal RNA". It matches the Rfam family "Bacterial small subunit ribosomal RNA", at positions 29 to 507 of the family's 1533-position model. The record is from RNAcentral.
AGUGAACGCUGGCGGUAGGCCUAACACAUGCAAGUCGAACGGCAGCACAGUAAGAGCUUGCUCUUACGGGUGGCGAGUGGCGGACGGGUGAGGAAUACAUCGGAAUCUACUUUUUCGUGGGGGAUAACGUAGGGAAACUUACGCUAAUACCGCAUACGACCUACGGGUGAAAGCAGGGGAUCUUCGGACCUUGCGCGAUUGAAUGAGCCGAUGUCGGAUUAGCUAGCUGGCGGGGUAAAGGCCCACCAAGGCGACGAUCCGUAGCUGGUCUGAGAGGAUGAUCGGCCACACUGGAACUGAGACACGGUCCAGACUCCUACGGGAGGCAGCAGUGGGGAAUAUUGGACAAUGGGCGCAAGCCUGAUCCAGCCAUACCGCGUGGGUGAAGAAGGCCUUCGGGUUGUAAAGCCCUUUUGUUGGGAAAGAAAAGCAGCAGGUUAAUACCCCGCUGUUCUGACGGUACCCAAAGAAUAAGCACCGGCUAACUUCGUG